GAGCACGUAGGUGGGUUUGUAAGUCAGAUGUGAAAGCCUUCUGUUCAAAGGAAGAACGGCAUCUGAAACUGCAGAUCUUGAGUGUAGGAGGGGAGAGUGGAACUUCUGGUGGAGCGGUGAAAUGCGUAGAUAUCAGAAGGAACGUCGGCGGCGAAAGCGACUCUCUGGCCUAUUACUGACACUGAGUGUGCGAAAGUUGGGGGAGCAAACGGGUUUAGAUACCCCGGUAGUCCUAACUGUAAACGAUGGGCACUAAGUAGAGGAGUC
Molecule: ribosomal RNA, 267 nt
Filed under: uncultured Planctomycetales bacterium
Lineage: Bacteria; Pseudomonadati; Planctomycetota; Planctomycetia; Planctomycetales
Description: partial 16S ribosomal RNA
Rfam family: Bacterial small subunit ribosomal RNA
Source: RNAcentral